UACGUAGGGUGCGAGCGUUAAUCGGAAUUACUGGGCGUAAAGCGUGCGCAGGCGGUUCGUUAAGUUCGUUGUGAAAGCCCCCGGCUCAACUGGGGAGGGUCACGCGAUACUGAUCGACUCGAAGGCAGGAGAGGGUAGUGGAAUUCCCGGUGUAGUGGUGAAAUGCGUAGAUAUCGGGAGGAACACCAGUGGCGAAGGCAGCUUACUAGACUGUAACUGACGCUGAGGCACGAAAGUGUGGGGAUCAAACAGG
RNAcentral lists this ribosomal RNA (253 nucleotides) under uncultured bacterium. RNAcentral's name for it is "partial 16S ribosomal RNA". It matches the Rfam family "Bacterial small subunit ribosomal RNA", at positions 524 to 776 of the family's 1533-position model. The record is from RNAcentral.